UACGUAGGCAGCAAGCGUUGUUCGGAAUUACUGGGCGUAAAGAGUGUGUAGGCGGUGUUCUAAGGCUGGUGUGAAAUCUCCCGGCUCAACUGGGAGGGUGCGCUAGAAACUGGAAUGCUAGAGGAUGGGAGAGGUAAGCGGAAUUCCUGGUGUAGCGGUGAAAUGCGCAGAUAUCAGGAAGAACACCUAUGGCGAAGGCAGCUCUCUGGGACGGUACUGACGCUGAGACGCGAAAGCGUGGGGAGCGAACAGG
Molecule: ribosomal RNA, 253 nt
Filed under: uncultured bacterium
Lineage: Bacteria
Description: partial 16S ribosomal RNA
Rfam family: Bacterial small subunit ribosomal RNA
Source: RNAcentral